CUUCCCGUUCCUCCUCCUCCUCCUCCUCCUUCUCCCGGAACCCGCCUCGCUCCUCCGGCCCGCGCCGCCCCCGCAGGAGGCAGAAGAUGAAAGCCGGCUGCAGCAUCGUGGACAAGCCGAGGGAGGAGGGGGCUACCAUUUCCCAGAGUGGGCUUACAAGACAGAGUCGAGCCCGGGCUCCAGGCAGAUCCAGCUGUGGAAUUUCAUCCUGGAGCU
Molecule: long non-coding RNA, 216 nt
Organism: Catharus ustulatus (Swainson's thrush)
Lineage: Eukaryota; Metazoa; Chordata; Aves; Passeriformes; Turdidae
Exons: 3
Source: RefSeq, a predicted model, not a curated record